This 79-nucleotide transfer RNA is filed under the name compost metagenome. Its description in RNAcentral is "tRNA-Arg". It matches the Rfam family "tRNA". From Rfam's summary of the family: Transfer RNA (tRNA) molecules are approximately 80 nucleotides in length. Their secondary structure includes four short double-helical elements and three loops (D, anti-codon, and T loops). The record is from RNAcentral.
GCGCCCUUAGCUCAGUCCGGAUAGAGCACUCGCCUUCUAAGCGAGCACGUCACACGUUCAAAUCGUGUAGGGCGCGCCA